CAUUACUGAGCCAAGGCUAAUAUUACUUUAUAGGUCAGAGUCCACAAGGCACUUUGGAACAAGAAUCAAAUUAAACUCUGGCCAGUGGACCCUGUCAUCAGAGUGAUGAAGAAGCGCAAGAAAUAUCAAUUCUGAGAAAGCAGUCCCUGAGGAUGACUUGCCUCCACUCUGGUUCACUGGGUCCUCAGUCCAAUGUGAGAUCUGCCAAAUGCGGGACAGUGCUUGAAGAGUCUGGCGAUGAGAUGUUUGGAGGUUUAAGCACUCUCUCCGAUGUUUCGACUUUUCCUCUGCAUGUUUCUGACGAAGUCUCGUGAUGUGUUUGGUGCCUUCCUGAAUGAACCUUCUCCAUUUUAGUUGGUCAAUGGCCAGGGGCUCCCAUGAGUUGGUGGUAUGUUUGACCUCUUCAGUGGUGCUUUAAGGGUAUCCCUAAAAUGUUUCCACUGUCCUCCUGGGAGUCUUCUACCAUGGCCAGAUUCCAAGUAGAACAAUUGUUUUGGGAGUCUGGUACCAGGCAUAUGAACAACAUGUCCGUCCCAGCGAGCGAGUUUUGAGUGAUUAGCAUCUUACUACCUUAACUAUAUUAUUACCUUUCUCAUAACUGUAAUUUCUUUUACUUCCUUUCCGUUCCAUUUGUUGGCUCUACUGUAGGUGUAAUUUAACUCUUGUGGCUUCCACGUGCCUCGUGUCCUCUGACAUACUUUCUAAUAACACCAUGUUUAUGUCAGUGUGACGCGUCGCUGAGGCCCAGAGUUUCAACAGGGACUCUCCCCUCAGGGAAAUUUGAUUGUCUAUUCAUGAGCCCAUUAGUAAAUCCUUUUGGGUUAGACAGCAGGAAUUUCCCACUCCCACUUUCAAUACUGAUUCAUGAACAUAUCGUAUCUCUUCAAUAAAUAGUUAAAUCUUUUACUCCAUUGGUCUUUAGUGACUGAAUACUACACCGACUAUUGCAUCCAGCCAAUCAAACAACAUGUAAUCAUUUUACACACAGGCACAUCCAAAAGAUUUCUGUGGUGGAAUAAUUGGCAGCUAAUGUCUUGCAAAUAAUUUAGCAUAUGAAUAUUAACAUUUUCAAAAGUAGGUUUUGAACCACAAUUUGAUCUUUCAAGAUGUUCAUUAUUGAAUCUCUAAAUGUAAUUCAGUUUUUUUUUACAAAAGCAUGAAUUCCUUCUUGUACAUCAACAAAAUUAUUUUGAAAACCUUAUACUAAUACACAAUGCUUUCUGCAUCAUGAUGCCUAUAUAAAAUAACUUUACUGAUUUAUUGGGUAUUCUAGCAUUCUGAAACUUAUUUUUAAAGAGAGAAUAAGUAAUAUUUUUAAGAUGGACUAUGAUGGGACAUUAUCAAUUGACUGCUUAAAUUCAAUUGGACUUCAUGGGCUGUAAAGCACCUCAGGAUGUCCUGAUGUCAUGAUGUCAUGAAAGGUGCUACAUAAAUGCAAGUCUUUCUUCCUUUAAUGAUAUUUAUUUCAAUCUUUUUCAGAACUGUGUCAUAUGAGGGGUCAUUUUCUUUACUCCUGCUGAGAAGGUUUUUUUCUUUUUAUUUACUGAGAAAUUCCCAAAAGUUGAGGGCAGGUUUGGUUGUGAAGAAACAACAUUUGACAUAGAGUAAAUGUAAUAUUUUCAGUGCACAAAGAGUUGAGAGGACACCCGGCUGCAUCAGGCUCUGUUCAAAAUAAUCAUUUUACAAAAUGCACUGUGGCUAGGCUGUAGAAAUUUUAUAUUUUACAGACCAAAUGUCUAUUGUUUUCCAUUCAGCUUAUGUUUUUAAACCUUGAAUAUAUGCAUGGUGUGAGGAACUGAAGGACCAGUUUUUUUAAAAUUAAUGAUGUAGGAAUUUACAGUACCUAUCCAGGUUUGAGCAAACUAAAACUAUGUGGUUAAAAAAAACACAAGGAAUGAACACUCGGUCUAAACAUUUGGCUUCAUCAUUAAUCAUAGGGCAGAAGAGUGAAAAAUACUGCACAUCCCUGUGAAAAUGACCAUACAGGAAUGGUGAUAUUUUAGAGUGCAGGAGUGAUGAUAGGAAUAGUGGAAAUCGACAUUUGUACAAGAAUUUGAAGGACAUUCACCCGGUUUCCAUGAUAAUGAGCCAGAAAAGUAAACAUAAGCAGGUUCAUCUAGUUAAUGCUUUAGGGUAUUAGGGUAUUCAGUUGUUUCAGUUUAAUUGCAGAAGAUGGUAGGAUAUCAUUGUAUUGUUCACUAACUCUGAUGACAAAUCUACUGCUUACGACCUGACACUUCUAAUCUCAAUUUCCCCCAUCAAACAAGGCUUUUAAAAAUGUUUACCUGUUACCAAUCAGAUUGGAAUUUAGUGUUUAAGUAAAGCCUUUAAAUCGCUAUGUA
Carcharodon carcharias (great white shark) is the source of this 2342-nucleotide long non-coding RNA. RefSeq lists it as uncharacterized. The record is from RefSeq and is a predicted model, not a curated record. The transcript is spliced from 2 exons. Lineage: Eukaryota; Metazoa; Chordata; Chondrichthyes; Lamniformes; Lamnidae.